AGCGCCUCCUCCGCCCCCCUGUCAGGUAUGGAAGGAUUGGGGAAAGGACGCCGUGUCCCUGCAGCUGCCCCUGACUGGCCAGCUGACGUUCCUUGAUGUCUCCAGGACCGUGGUGAGGCAGAAGAGGACUCAAGAAGUCACGGUACGUCUUUCGAGGCUACACUUCAGUCUCCUCCUCCUCCUCCUCCUGCAGAAGACGCUGACGGAGGCUUGUUAAGUAUAUUCGCUCACCCGGAUGUGAUCUGCGUCAGGUGUGCCGGCAACAGACUCGGGGGCAGGUGUGCGGCAGGUGUAAAGCAGGUGCGAGGCUGUCAAGGUCGUUGCUGUAAAUGAAGGUAAAGGGCAGAGUACUUUUUUUUAUUUAUUUUAUUACUAUUUGUUUAUUUAUUCAUUUGUUUAUUUUUUUUCU
Long non-coding RNA from Scylla paramamosain (green mud crab), 409 nucleotides. RefSeq lists it as uncharacterized. The transcript has 4 exons. The record is from RefSeq and is a predicted model, not a curated record. Lineage: Eukaryota; Metazoa; Arthropoda; Malacostraca; Decapoda; Portunidae.